RNAcentral lists this ribosomal RNA (497 nucleotides) under uncultured bacterium. Its description in RNAcentral is "partial 16S ribosomal RNA". It matches the Rfam family "Bacterial small subunit ribosomal RNA", at positions 28 to 507 of the family's 1533-position model. The record is from RNAcentral.
GAUGAACGCUGGCGGCGUGCCUAAUACAUGCAAGUCGAGCGAACAGACGAGGAGCUUGCUCCUCUGACGUUAGCGGCGGACGGGUGAGUAACACGUGGAUAACCUACCUAUAAGACUGGGAUAACUUCGGGAAACCGGAGCUAAUACUGGAUAAUAUAUUGAACCGCAUGGUUCAAUAGUGAAAGACGGUUUUGCUGUCACUUAUAGAUGGAUCCGCGCCGCAUUAGCUAGUUGGUAAGGUAACGGCUUACCAAGGCAACGAUGCGUAGCCGACCUGAGAGGGUGAUCGGUCACACUGGAACUGAGACACGGUCCAGACUCCUACGGGAGGCAGCAGUAGGGAAUCUUCCGCAAUGGGCGAAAGCCUGACGGAGCAACGCCGCGUGAGUGAUGAAGGUCUUCGGAUCGUAAAACUCUGUUAUUAGGGAAGAACAAAUGUGUAAGUAACUAUGCACGUCUUGACGGUACCUAAUCAGAAAGCCACGGCUAACUACGUG